UUUAUAUAGUUUAAAAAAACAUUAUAUUUUCACUAUAAAAAUAAACAAAUUGUUUUAUAAAUAU
This 64-nucleotide transfer RNA is filed under the name Cautires sp. UPOL VK0215. RNAcentral describes it as "tRNA-Glu". Lineage: Eukaryota; Metazoa; Arthropoda; Insecta; Coleoptera; Lycidae. RNAcentral also lists the same sequence under 5 other names. The record is from RNAcentral.